GACGAACGCUGGCGGCGUGCCUAAUACAUGCAAGUUGAGCGCUGAAGGUUGGUACUUGUACCAACUGGAUGAGCAGCGAACGGGUGAGUAACGCGUGGGGAAUCUGCCUUUGAGCGGGGGACAACAUUUGGAAACGAAUGCUAAUACCGCAUAAAAACUUUAAACACAAGUUUUAAGUUUGAAAGAUGCAAUUGCAUCACUCAAAGAUGAUCCCGCGUUGUAUUAGCUAGUUGGUGAGGUAAAGGCUCACCAAGGCGAUGAUACAUAGCCGACCUGAGAGGGUGAUCGGCCACAUUGGGACUGAGACACGGCCCAAACUCCUACGGGAGGCAGCAGUAGGGAAUCUUCGGCAAUGGACGAAAGUCUGACCGAGCAACGCCGCGUGAGUGAAGAAGGUUUUCGGAUCGUAAAACUCUGUUGGUAGAGAAGAACGUUGGUGAGAGUGGAAAGCUCAAGUGACGGUAACUACCCAGAAAGGGACGGCUAACUACGUG
RNAcentral lists this ribosomal RNA (494 nucleotides) under uncultured bacterium. RNAcentral's name for it is "partial 16S ribosomal RNA". It matches the Rfam family "Bacterial small subunit ribosomal RNA", at positions 28 to 507 of the family's 1533-position model. The record is from RNAcentral.